RNAcentral lists this ribosomal RNA (460 nucleotides) under uncultured bacterium. RNAcentral describes it as "partial 16S ribosomal RNA". It matches the Rfam family "Bacterial small subunit ribosomal RNA", at positions 338 to 795 of the family's 1533-position model. The record is from RNAcentral.
CCUACGGGUGGCAGCAGUGAGGAAUAUUGGUCAAUGGACGAGAGUCUGAACCAGCCAAGUAGCGUGAAGGAUGACUGACCUAUGGGUUGUAAACUUCUUUUAUAUGGGAAUAAAAUGUUCCACGUGUGGGAUUUUGUAUGUACCAUAUGAAUAAGGAUCGGCUAACUCCGUGCCAGCAGCCGCGGUAAUACGGAGGAUCCGAGCGUUAUCCGGAUUUAUUGGGUUUAAAGGGAGCGUAGGUGGAUUGUUAAGUCAGUUGUGAAAGUUUGCGGCUCAACCGUAAAAUUGCAGUUGAAACUGGCAGUCUUGAGUACAGUAGAGGUGGGCGGAAUUCGUGGUGUAGCGGUGAAAUGCUUAGAUAUCACGAAGAACUCCGAUUGCGAAGGCAGUUCACUGGACUGCAACUGACACUGAGGCUCGAAAGUGUGGGUAUCAAACAGGAUUAGAUACCCUUGUAGUC